CAUUGGCAAGAAACAGAAACAGGUAGUUUUGUUAAAAAAAAAAAAAAGCCACCAAAGGAAAAAAAAUCCUAGACUCAAUACCAAACAUAUCUUUUUCUCCCAAAUCUGUUCUUCCUCUGAACUUCCUUUUCUUCCCCCCUUUUUUCCAUUUAAGAGCAUCACUAUCUACUCUGCUGCCCAAAUGAAAGGACAUUUAUUGACUCUUACAUGGAAGACUAUUUGGGACCCUUUAUAGGGUGUCUAGAAAUCUCAGCAUCAUUCUUUAACUCAUCUUGCCCAUAGUCCCUCCUAAACAUUUCUUCCAUCCAUCAUCUCCCCAUUUCCACCACCUCAGUCUCAUUACCAAUUCUCCCCUGGUCUAAUGUGAUGGUCUUAGAAGCAGCUUUCUUUCUUUUUUAAUGUUUGCUUAUUUUCAAGGGGGGAGGGAGGAAAGGGCAGAAAGGCAGGACAGAGAGAAUCCCAAGCAGGCUCCACACCAUCAGUGCAGAGCCCAUCACCGGGCUCAAAGUCACGAGCUGUGAGAUCAUGACCUGAGUCGAAAUCAAGAAUAAGAUGCUUAACCCACUGAGCCACCCAGGUGCCCCCCUUUUUUAAUGUUUAUUUUUGAGAGAGAGAAAGAGCGAGCACAUGUGCUUUCCUGACUCGUGUCUCACUCAGUUCAAUCCAUCCCUCACAGCCACCUAAGGAUUUUUAAGUGAAAACACCAUAAUGCCCUCUCCCACUCAACACUCUUGCCUGAUUCUUACCAUGUACAGGAUGAAGGAUACCCCAUAACCGUCCUCCUGUCAUUCCUCUUGCCAUCACUCCCCACUUGCCUCCUCCCAUUCAUCCAUGUCCUAAUAGCCUGGUUGGGAUUCUCUCUCCCUGCCUCUCUCUGACUCUCCACCCAUGUGUGCAUGCUCUCUCUCAAAAUAAAUAAACUUAAAAAACAAUUCCAGGGUCCUGGCACAAGCUUUUUCCAUUGCUUAGAAUUUCUUCUCCCUGCCUUCCUCCUGAACUCUUACUGAGUUCUCUUGAGACCCAACUCAAGCAUUGGAUUUCUUCAGGAAAGUCCUAGUCCUGAGUUUUAUUUACCUUUGUAUCCCCAGAGGUGAACUCUCCCUGGACAUACUCAAAUAAAUGGUAAUAGGGAGAUUGGGCUCCCCUGUGUAUCUGUCUCAUUAGAGCCUAUGUUCCUUGAGUGAUGUAAGAGUAUCUUGUCCAUCUGUCUAACCUCUCCACUUGUUGCAAUGCCUGGUAUAUAUGGAUGCUCAGUGUGUAUUUGUGGAAUUGUUUUUAAUAUGAUUGGGAAAAAACUUUCAGUUCAAAAAAAUUUAAAAAUCCCUGUGAGCUUAUUUUUAAUUAGCUCACUUUUUUAUUUAAGAAUUUUCCUUCUCCUUGAAAUUACAGAACACCGCAAGCAUUAAUUUACUCCACAAAGAUUCAAUCUCUGCAACUCCUGGCUUUCAAUGGUAACCCAACUAAUUGGGGCACCUUGGGGACAAUAAGGCAUUCCAAACAUACUUUCUACUUUGAAUUGCCUGGCAGAUGAAAGGCUAUUGAUUUUCUUGAGCAGAAGGGCCUUCUUCGAGAAAUUUCACCAGCAUUUAACUUUGGAGGGGACAGAGCCCUGUGUUUCUAUGUGCAGAAUUUUACUCUUAAGAGCAGGGCUACCAAUGGGCUGUGGCUGUUACUUGGAAAUCCAGUGCCCCAUCCAACAUACAGGACCAUUACAAGAAGGGAUAUGGAUUGAGGAAAUAGGGCAAGACCUAGGGCUUAUAAUAGACCCUCUAUACCAGCCAAAGGAUUAUCUAAUUUUCUCACCCACUCCCCCUACCUCACAGAAAAUUAACUAUGAUGGACCUAAAGAACAGGAAUAAAACUCCUCUUCGUGCAUAGCUGCAAUGGCCAUUAGCACCUAAAGAACAGUCUCCCCUUGGUAUGACUAACUGGGGAACAUCUUCAUUGGCAAGGAAGCCCACCAAAGCGAUUGCAGACACCUGGCCAAGUCAGCUGGGGUGGGGGUCAGAAGAAUACCUACACCUCCCAUUCUCCCAAUGUUGCUGAUCCACAAGCAAAAAAAAAAAAAAAAAAAAAAAAAAAAUCAAGAAUGAACCACAGUAUUAGUGCUACAGAUGUGGUUAUCCUGCCUGCUUUUUUAAUACAAUUUCUCCUCAUUUCUCUGUAAUCGAUUUUGAGUUCUAUUAUUUGAGUUGAGAGGAGAAACAGAAUGAGCAUUUUAAAUAACAUGUUCAUAUUUUGGUAAAAUGAAAGUAGGCCAUACACUGACCAUUCUACACCUUCUUAGGAAUGGAUUUUUCCUUUUAUGAAUUUUUAAGAAGUCCUUGAACCUGUAACAAAAAUAAAUCUGUAUCUCUGGCAGGAAUGCAAAAGUCAUAGAGCCACAUUAGAAAACAGUUUAGUGGUUUCUUUAAAACACACUCUUAUACUCUUACCAUACAAUCCAGCAACUGUGCACCUGUUUUUUCCCCCCAGAAGAGUUGAAAACCUAUGCCCACACAAAAACCUGUACACAAAUAUUUAUAACAGCUUUAUUCAAAACUGUCAACACUUGGAAACAACCAACAUGUCCUUCAGUAGGUGAAAGCACAAAAACUGUGGUACAUCCAGACAAUGGAAUAUUAUUCAGCAUUAAAAAGAAAUGGGCUAUCAAGCCAUGAAAAGACAUGAAAGAAACUUAGAUGUAUAUUACUAAAUGAAAGAAGUCAAUACUAAAAGGUUACAUAUUGUAUAUUUCCAACCAUAUGGCAUUCUAGAAAAGGCAAAACUAUGGAGAUAGUUAAGAUAAAUGGUUGCCAGGUCUUAAGUGGAAGUAAGAGAUGAAUAAGUACAGAACAAAGGAAUUUUAUGGUGUAAAAAUUCAAUACUGUAAUGGUAGAUACACCAUAUAUUUCAUGGGUUUUGACAAAUGCAUGACAUCGAGAGUGAUCCCUCAUGUUCACUAUGGACUUUGGGUGAUUAUUAUGUGUUAAUUUAUGUCCAUCAGCUUUGAGAUGUACCACUGUGGUGUGUUAUGUUGACAGCGGUUGAGGCAAUCAAUUUGAGGGAAAAGGUAUAUGUGAAUGCUCUGUACUUUUGCUCAGUUUUGUUGGGAACCUAAAACCUCCAAGACAAAGUCUAUUUAAGUAAACAAAGAAAAAAAAUUUCAGUCUCUCUGAAUAGGUGGUUUGUUUUUUUGUUAUUGUUGUUUUGUUUUGCUUUUCCAAAUUUCAGUUGUCUUAUGAGAUAGAUACUUCUGGAAAAUGAACUUUAAAGAAUAAGAGAAUGCUCCUUACCCCAAAUAAAGUGAAGUUCUAAGAAAUUCACUGUGACAAACACAGACAAAUCACAUAGCCCUGUCUUUAUACCUCAGAAUCCCAACUAUGAACAUGAUAAUGGCUGUCAUGUUCUGCUAAUACAGUUUCUAUUAUCAAGGCCUAGAAAACCCGAACACUGGGAACAUAAUGUGAAUUCCACUGAAAAAUUUAAAAGAAAUUUAAAAUUUUUCCUUUCUUUCUUUCUAAGGCUCUUCCCUUUUUAGGUUUAUUCUGUAUUACUGCCUGGGAGUAAAACAAGACAAAUGUGUUAGGAUAAGAAAAAAUUGGCAUACAGGUCUCCAUGAAGGACAAGAGAAAAGCAGUUAAAGACUAAACCACACCUACAAAUUAUCAACUUUGAAUUGAAAUUACAGGAAAAUAAGAAAAUUGAAAGGGAUGUCUUUACAAAAUAAGGGUUUUAGAGUGGUUAUGUCUGGAGAAAAGGAGGAGGAAAGGAGACAAUGGUGAGAAAAGCUUAAUGGAGGCAUGGUGGGAAGGGUGCCAUGUCAGUGAAUAAAACAGUCACUCUUCUUCUGAAGUUCACAACAUGGUAGGUAAAAAAAAAAAAAAAUGUAAGCACAUAGCUACAUGCAAUAUAGGCAGUCAGUGAUAAGCUCUAUGACACAGAUGCAAAGGUCAAAAAGAAAGGGGGGUGGAGGCAAGCAGGGCCAUUUUAGAAGACCUUCUGAGGAGGGCAGAUUUGGCUGAUCCUCAGAGAAAUGGCAGGCCUCCUGCAGGUAGAAGUUAAGGACAGCCAUGAAGGUCGUGCCUGAUAAAGUUAUGGCCAGAGGUAAGACAGAACUGGGUCAGGAAUAAAUGGAUUCAUUCAUUCAUUCACAUUCAACAAACAUCUCUUUAGCACCUGCCAAUGGCAAACAUUGUAGGUGGUGGAAGAAGUUAGGCAAAAUACGAUGAUCAGGGUGAAACUUCACACAAAUAUGAACAUUAGGUUACAUUUCUUAGAGGCAGCAGAGAGCCUGGUGGGAUGGAUGCCAUUGGUGCCUUGCUCCCUGUGGAUUCCUCCCUCUUUCUAGUGUCCCUUCCCAUACAGAGGCUGGCAAAUUAAAACCUACAUUUACUACACUCCUUGAAGCCAGGGUUCUGAAGGAGAAUUAGGUUCCAUCAAUUUGAUGCAUUUGCAUGAACUCUGGAAGGUGGAAAUUAGAAGGAGACCAUUUUCCUGACUUCUUUUGGCUGCCCUUCACUUUGAUAAGAUCAUAAAGGUACGAUGUUUUCCUGCAGCAUUCUGGGGUACAGUGUCUUGCUGGGUGAGGAAAAGCAGUUGAGGGGCAGUAGCACCAUGGAUUCCUGAUCCAUGAAUAACUAUGGCUGGAAGUUCUUAAACUCCAGGCUUUUAGUAGACAUUGGUGCAUCCUUCCUGUACCUGUUCCUUUAACCCUCCUCUGAUAUUAUCAUUCCUAACCCCCAUGUUAAAUCCUUUCCUGAUUGAAAUACAUAGAGUGACCUCUGCUUCCUACACUGAAUUUUGAUGAGUAUAGCCAAUAAAGAGUUUUAAGCAAGGGAGAGAUAGGAGAUUUGUGCUUCAGGAAGGGACCUUGGUGGCUGCUUCAAAGACAAACUGGAGACAGAUUUAGGAAACUCUUAGGAAUGUCCAGCCUAGACCAAUGUGCCUGGGAUACUGGGACUGAAUAAAACAGUUGUAGUGGGAAGAGAGAAGGAAUGGAAAUACGAUACUCCCUAAGUUGAAUUUAUAGGAUCUACUGAAAAUGGAGAUGAGAGAAGAAAUUUAAACUUCGCCCUACUUCAUCCCAACCCUGCCGGGGUCCUCUGCACUCUGUUCUUCACCAUCAUAGGACCUGUCAUACUUCCUUAAAAGUCAUCCUUCUCUUCAGGCUUCAGACCUUUCUGCUCUUUGCUGCAGCCUAAGUGCAGAGCACAGCAAAUAGCCCCUAAUAGAAUGCUCAGUAGACACUGGUUGGGUGGAUAGAAAGGGAGAAAGGAAAUAUCUAACCUCAGAGACACUGUGAGGAUUGAGAUUCUAUUAACCAAGGAAGUAGUCACAGGCUGAGUACUGCUUGAGUAAUACUGAAUCUUGGAUUACAUGGGGAAUCCAGGUGAAGAAUAUUAGCACACCAGUAGACAUAAGAGUCUGGUGGUUGGGAAGUAGGAGCUUAGACACAAAUCUUAGAAUUACUGCACAGAAUGAAAGCUGAAUACUUCCCAGGAAAAGAUGAUGCCUCAAUAAAGCUUGGGUGAUACCCAUAUUAUUAUAAUUACACAGUGAAGAGAGUCUAAAAUGCCAGUCACCAUUUGAGACACUAUAUGUACACUGUCCUUUUAAUCUUACAACAACUUAUAAGUGAGGUGUUAUCAUCCUCAUCUUACAGAGAAGGAAACUGAAGCUCAGCAAAGUGAAGAACUGCCCAAGGUCACAUAGCUGGUGAGGACAGAGCUGAGGUUCAAACCCAGGUCUCCCCAACUCUAAACCCUGUGCUCAUUGUUCUCCCUCAGCUGACAUGAGAAGAAAGAGUUAGUGACAGUGACAAAGGACUGGUCAGAGAGGAAAGAAGAGAAGUAGAGAAAUGACAGAACACAAAAUCCAAUUAAGCAGAUAAAAAAAAAAAAGACUGUAGACUAGAAGAUGCUCACAGGAAUCAGAAGUCAAUCAGGAGUUUCUUUAACAAGAGCAAGAUGCUUAUGGGCCAAAGAGAACAGUGAAAGGUAGAAAUCAGAGAUGUAAGAGGUGAAGGCAAUGAGUAAGAAACGUCUUAAAAAGAUGCAAAGAAUGGAUAAGCAGCCUUUGAGAAAAGAAGGACAACAGACAAAGUUUUAAAAUUGAGUUGUGGUCCCCCACCUGAUACUGACAAAGCAAACGUUGAGUACCUAACAAAUUACUUUGUUUGCCAAUAAACCUAACAGAUGUCAGGCAUAUGCACUGAUCAGGCUACAUGCAAAGAGAAACAAUUUUCCUUUUGAUUGGAAUUCUAUCAAUCUAUUUCAUAGCACUGAUUAGCUCAUGCGGAUAAGAAGCUCUGAUAGGAAGUUAAAUUUGUAUUUGGUCAGCCAAAAGAAAGUGAUCAGUAAUUAUCAUUUAUUAAAGAUGGUCUUUUUAUUUUCAUAGCCUUCCAAAAUCCAUGGUAGGGGAUAAUGAAAAGGGUCCUUCAUAGCAAAACAAUUAUUAACUGUCACUAAAGACUAUGUCAGCAGAACUACAGAAAUACACAGAAUACAAUCAGAUAUUAUCUAAAUAGCUACAAACAUUGGAAUGAGAAAAGAGAAAAUGGAAUACAAUCAAGCAGUAAAUAGAUUGGAUUUAACCAAUCUAAUAGUGAAGCAAUCCGGAUGGAUGAUUAUAGACCUAAAUCAGACUAAAGAUAUAACCAGAAUCCAUCUGAUGAGGACUAGAAGACCAUUCCACGUGGACAUGUGGAUUUGGAGACUUCCCUGGCAUUGCAACCUUGGAAGAGAGGUCUAUGUGUCCCCCACAGUUUUAAGAAAAAUCCACCUGGACACGAGCACCUCCUGACCUUAAAGCCUAGCAGAAUGGUUGAUGGCAGAAUUGUUUUCUUGGUGGGUAAACAUCUGUUAAGCCUGGGAGUAUCUAGAAAUACAUGGAAAUAAUGUUAUAAAUUAAAUCUAUCAUAUCAAUAUUUUUGUGUUCAGUAUUUAAAGAGUAUAUAAUGUUUAUGAGGAUCUGGCACAUUGGCCUAGCUAGCAGAUGACCAUUUCAAUUCCAAGGUAAAUUAUGUGGUUGAAUAACUAAGCCCGGUGACUUCAAGUUAAGAUGUAUGGCAGAACUUUGCUUAAGUUUGUCACAAUACUGGGAGGUUUAGGAGAAGUUUUACCACGUUACACAUUUAUUGUAUUUGUAAGAAUCAUGAAAAAUUUCCUUCAUUAGGAAAAUGAGGUCUUAAAAAGGAAACAGAAUAUUAAAACUAUCAAUGCAUUAGAAUGUUUAGGAGACUUUAAAUGAGGCCAAACUGUAACCAGAUUGCUUGUGACAAUUAACAUUUAUAGAUUUAGAAUUAAAUAAUAAGGUGUGUGUGUUUAAAAGUUAAAGGAAAAACUAGAAUCUUGAAUUUGUAACCUUAAUAAAAUAUUAAUGUUUAAAUGGCUGGCAAAUACAAAGUCCUUGGGGAGCACAAGAGCCCCAUCAAGGAUAGCAAGAAGCUCACAUUGACAUGGUCACUGAUAUGAAGGGACGAACAUCUGCAACCUACAUACCAGGCACCUACUGUGUGCCACCAGCUGAGAGAACAAAGACACUGAAGACAGCAUGGUGGGGAAGACAGAGAGGAGCACAGAGGAGCAACUGCAACAUGGAAAAAAGUACCUCAGAAGGAGGAAGGGCCAGGAUGCCUGGGGAGGUUGGCACAGCCAGCCCUGAUCUGAGGGAGAUCUCCCUGGAGAACUGAGCCUGUGGAGUGGAAUAGGGGGCCACCUUGAACAAUGGCUGAUAAUGGUCUCAAUCACAGCAAACCAGGCAAUAAUCUACAAAGAAAAGAGGCAAAGGAGGUGGUUCUAAAGGCUUUAGAGAGAUCUCAAAGAGUUCCACGGGAGAACCAGGAGAAAAGAAAAGGCAAAAAGCUAGGCUGUAUUGCCUGAAACUGAGGUUUUCUCUGCUUACACAAGAUGUUCUUUCUGCUGGCUGCAGGCUCAUCAUUAUGACAAUAGCAGCACUCAGCUGCCUGUCUCUGAACCAGGAAGAAUCUGGAACCAAACUAGAAGAAACUGGAACCAAUCUACUAUAGAGGAGAAUUUCUGGUUAAUAGAAAAGGAGAAUUUGUAGCCCCUUAGAAUAUUAAGCCUCAGUGGCACUUUAGAGACCGCAUACUUCUGCAUUCUCAAUCCUAGCUACAUUUCAAAAAACUAAAAAUGCCAAAGCCCCAUCUGGGACCUGCUGUAUCACUCGUUGGAGGGGGGAGUCCCAAGAAUGUGUAUAUUUACUUUGUUAUGGUGGUUUUUAGUAAUAAUAGCAGUAUUAGUAAUAUAUAUUUACUGUUUAACAAAAUCUCAAACACCACAAGUAUAUGAAGUAAAAAGAGAAAUUUCCCUUCUUCACCUUUUCUAAUCCCAGAGGCAUUUAUUCCAUAACAUGUAGGAGUAUGUGAGGGAGUGUAUGUGUAUUUUAAAGGCCUCCCAACUAAUAGAUAAUGUGUUAACAGUAGAAUCUGGGUGGUGGGUGUUCACUAUAAAACUCAUCCUACAGGGGCACCUGUGGGUGGCUCAGUUGGUUAAGUGUCCAACUCUUGAUUUUGGCUCAGGUCAUGAUCUCACAACUCAUGAGAUUGAGCCCCAGGUCAGGCUCAGCACUGACAGACAGAGCUUGCUUGGGAUUUUUGGUCUCCUUCUCCCUCUCAAAUUAAAUAAACAAACAUUAAAAAAUUCAUUAUAUAUUUCUGUUUUAAGAUGUUAUCAUGUGACAACCACUGGUUUAAGCACAACCCAAAAUUACGAAUGAGAAAACUUUGGACAACAGAGGUAAUCCUAUCUGCCCCAAAUCUAACAGGGUAGGGGUCAGAGUCAGCCCAUGAACCCGGAUCUUCCAGCUUUCUGUCUAGUAUUCUUUCCAACACACUAUGCAAUCUCUAACAGGAGAGGCAGCCCCAGAGCAGACUAGGCAAGAAGACAUAGAAGUUGCCUUUUCUCGACUUUAAAUGACCAAGACUCUUGUAUUUUGACUUUUCCUUGUGGCAGAAAACAACACUAGAACUCAGAUGCUACGAUCUUUAUUUUGUGUAUGUUCAUUAAAUUACACUUCUCUACCUUACUGAUUCACACUGCCUUCAAGGACUUUCAGAUUCCACACAAAAUUCCAGCAUACAUUCACCUUCAUUUGCCUUCUGAAGUAUUAAAGCCCACUGGAACUCCUUGCUGUCGCAGAGAGGAAGAAAAAGGACAUUUUCAAAAAUGUUAAGCAUUAUCCUCUAAAGCCAACGAGGAAACGUCACAACAAAAUGACGGUACAAGAACAUUCCUGAUCAUAAGUGAAUAAUAAGACAGUAAAUUGCAAUUGCUGAAUGGGGGAUAUUAGCAUCAGUAAAAGGUUGGAAAAUAACCUUUAUAGAUGCUAAGAUUCAUUUUGUGGAAGGAAGUGGAAAGACAGGGAUUAAAUUAAAUUAGUCUGAAUUCCAAGCAGUAUCGUUACAAAAUAAGGGCACUGUUUAUUGCCAAAUUUUAUAUGCAAGAAAGGCAACUUUUUCCUAUUCCCACAUAAAACUUAGGAAAAGUCUAACUUACGGAAUCUCUUUGUGGAAGAGCCCAAACAUUAGGGAUAAAUAUUAAGGCUUCAUCUGCCAGCCCAGGGAGAACUCAUGGCUUUUUGUUCUUCCCAGCAGUCAGUUCAAAAUAUAAGGAUAGGGACAUAUAAAUCAGGAGACCUGGUUUCUAGUCCCAGCUUUGUCACUAAAUUGCUUUUUCUCAGCUUCCUUACCUGCAAAAAUGGUGUCUAAAUGGCCUUUCAGGUGUCUUAGAAUGCUAAAACCCUGGACUCAAUACCUGUGUAUUCCAUCUAAGACAUUUGGUAAGCAGUGUCCCAGAAGAGUGAUCUUAAAUACCACUACCUGCAUAUUUUUCUCCUAUCAUUCUUGCUCAUCCUCCACUCAUCCCCAACCAGUUCUUAAAAAUGUAGUCUGUAAGGAAACAUUACCCCAAAAGGAAAAGGCCAGGAGUUAUUUGAAAAGACAUGCCCUUUUUCUCUUCUGAUUAGUAUUUGUAAAAGAAAUAAAAGCAAAAAAUUCAAGUGACCGUGAGUAGGCCCUGCAGAUGAAAGCCAUUUUCUUCAGUCUUAAAUUAAUCCUUAAAAACAACUCUUAAAGGCUACAAUUAUUUUUAUGACAGAUUCAAAUAGCCCCUCACAUUAAAAGUGUUCCCAAAAGGUAUAUCAUCAAUAGAUUCCAGAAAUUAUACUCGAGUCUACACUCUUUGACCUCCAUAAUGAAAGGUCUAGAAAGAAAAGUACACUGAGGCAUCAGGGUCUCAUCUUCCCUGGUAGGGAGGGCCCAGAGUCAUUUCUGGUGCCGAAUCCCUAGGGUGGUUUCUGAACCAAACCAUUAACUUACACGAGUUCUAACAUGGGUAUAGAUCUCUGUAGACUGCUCUCAGGAGUUCGUUCUGAUAGCCUCUCCUCCACCAACCACUCUAUUCAUUGCCAACAAGAGGUUGGGAAAAUCUCAGUAUCCAGGACACAAGGAUAUGCCCAGAACAGGUUUGGGAGCCAGACUGCCUGGCCUUGAGUACUGGGUCAACCAGUUCCUGGCUGUGUAACCUGGACGGGUUACUUUACCUCUUCCUCCUCUUGCCCUCCUGUAUAACAAGGAUAAUAACUGCUACCUUCUAUGGUUUUAUCAAGAUUAAGGAAACUAGUUCACAAAUGAAUAGCACCAGGCAUUGUAGCAAACACUCACUGAGUUUUUCCUAUCGUCAUUUAACAUUUUGGCACCUUAACGUAGUGCUGGUUAUUGUUGUCGUUAUUGUUUAUUUUAGAGAGAGAACACUCAAGCAGGGGAGAGGGGGCAGAAGGGGAGAGGGAGAAUAUUAAAGCUGAGCACAGAGCCUGACAUGGGGCUUUAUCCCACAACCCAUGGCUAGGAUCAUGACCUGAGCCAAAAAUCAAGAGUUGGAGGCUCAACCGACUGAGCCACCCAGGAGCCCCAUUCAGUGCUGCUUUUAAUCAUUGAUUGGUAGGAAGUCCAUGGUUUCAGUACAGAUUGCAGAUUUUUUUUUUAAUGUUAUCCAUUUGAGAGAGCGCACAUGUGCGCAAGCAGGGGAGGGGCAGAGACAGGGAGACAGAAUCUAAAGAAGGUUCCAGGCUCCAAGAUGGCAGCACAGAGCCCAACACAGGGCUCAAUGCAUGAACCGUGAGAUCAGGAGCUGAGCCAAAAUUGGACACUCAACUGACUGAGCCACCCAGGCACCCCCAGACUGCAAAUUUUUAAAAGACAUAGGUGUCUAAAAACACAGUUGGAAGAAGGCUACUAAAUGUUUUCCUUAACAAGCAAAAGGCUCUUAUCUCUAUGAUAUCAGAAUGGCAAUCACACACACACACACACCCCAUCUACUAGCUGUCAUUAGUUUCACCCCUGGAGCGGCCACUAAUAAGCACAUGAGUAUCCUGCUCAUUUCUCUCUCACCCCUUCACUAUAUUCUAGGUACUACGUUAAGGCUUUUUAUACGUAUUAUUUCAUUUAACACUUAAAACAACAUUUUAGUGGAGAUUAGUACCAUUUUCAUUUUUCAGGUCAGGUACCUGUGAUUUAAAGGACAAACAAGUUCCCCAAGGUCACACAAUCUUGGAUCUAGGAAGUGAUCCCAGGUUUGAUGAUAAACACUGAACUCCCAAGCACUGUAUCUACCCCACUGCCACACGUCAUUUACACCCUGCUUCGAUGAAGCAUAGAAAAGAAGAAUACAAGAGCUACGUAUUCACGUGCACAUGGAUCAUUCUUAGAGGGCAGGGUUUCCGUCUGGGUCUAUGGCCUCCUUCUGAUCUCCAACUCACCUACGUUCUACACAUCAUUUUUAAGAAUGCAUUUCCAAAGGGCAAUUACUUUCUGGAGGAAGGAAAAUGAUUUUAUGUGAGAGGCUGCUAUUUUAAGGUGUUUAGCUUUUCACUUAGAAGCCCCAAACUAGCAUUCUUUAAAUGCAAAUUUGAAAAGUGAGGCAUUUUUAUAUACAAUGAUUUUUUAAAUUGGAGAGGGGAGGAAGAGGAAGGUGGUGUAAUCAGGCUUUGAACCGUAUAGCCCUUUCUUAGACUACAACUCACUCUUUGCCUCAAAGCAGCACAAGAGGUACCUCACUCUCAGCCUAUCAGAACUUUAGACCGAAAUACAGCUUGGAGGAAAGAUUACACUGGAUAUUUUUUCUUUUUUAUUUAAUGUUUACUUAUUUUGAGAGAGAGAGAGAGAGAGAGAGAGACGGAGACAGAGAGAGAGGGAGGGAGGGAGGGAGGGAGAGAGAGGCUCAGAGAAGGAGAGAAAGAAUCCCAGGCAGGCUCCACACUGUCAGUGCACAGAGCCUGACGUGGGGCUCGAUCUCACAGAUUGAACUGUGAGAUCAUGACCUGAGCCAAAAUCAAGAGUCCGAGUUGGGUUGUUUUUUUUUUUUUUUUUUUUUUUUUUUUUUUGCUUGCUUGUUUUAAUGAAUUUGAUACGAUCUUUGGGUUUCAAUUGCAUUUCCCCUAUAGGCAGGCAAAUUAAAAUUAUUACUUACUUUUUCUUUUCACUUGUGAGAUUGCCUGAAGAAAAUUAGAUUGAUUUUGCUAUAGUGAAAAUGACAACUGACAAUUUGAAAGUCAAAACUUUCUGUGUUCAAGUGGAAAACAGGCAGACAGGGGUCAUCUCAUUUUGGUUUGUAUUUGACUAAGCAUCAUUGUGUGUGUGUGCAGUGUGGGGAAGGAUGUGGUGUGCACGUGCACUUCCCAAAUGUCACUUCAAGAAUCAUGUGUGCUCCAGCUCUAUUUCCUAUCAAGUAUUUUCAUCUGUUUGACUGUUUAACCUCUACUCACUAAGGAAUAACUUAAUCAAAAAACUCAAUCUGUUUCAGGUGUUACUUUCUCCAGGGAUAUAAUCUCAAGAUGUUGAUCUCUUUUUCUAUUCAAUUAGAUAUACCCUGUGACCUAAAAAAUUAUUGGGUUGCUCCAGUCUUUUCGUUAUAAAAUGUUGUUGGUGCAAUUCAGCACACUCUUAAGGAGGUCAAGAUUGAGAGAUAAUUUUCUUUGGGUUUAGUUUCUGGCUAUUCUUAAGAUUUCAUUAAAAUAGAUCCUAGAGUUUAAUGUUUUUGAAUGUUAUAAUUAUUUAACUUGCUUUUCUCAAACAAAGAUUUUCUCAACUACUUUUAUUAAGUAGCAACCACACAGGACAGAGGCAGUUCUGUUUUUCUAAGUCAGACUCUAGAAGAGCAGUUGGCAAACUUUCUAUGAAGGGCCAGAGAGUAAAUAUUUUCUGCUCUGCAGACUAUGCAGUUCUUUCUACAACUACUCAACUCUGCUAUUGUAGCAUGGAAAUAGCCAUAGAUGAUAUAGAAACAAAUUAGCAGGACUGGGCUUUUUUUUUUUUUUUUNNNNNNNNNNNNNNNNNNNNNNNNNNNNNNNNNNNNNNNNNNNNNNNNNNNNNNNNNNNNNNNNNNNNNNNNNNNNNNNNNNNNNNNNNNNNNNNNNNGGGGGGGGCAGAUGGGGGGAGAGGGGGAGGGAGAGAAUCUUAAGCAGGCUCCAUGCUUAGCACAGAGCCUGACUUGGGGCUUGAUCCCAUGACCCUGGAAUCGUGACCUAAGCCAAAAUCAAGAGUCAGGCACUCAACCAACUGAGCCACCAGACAACCUAACAUGACUGUGUUCUAGUAAAACUUUAUUCACAAAACCAGGCAGUGAUGCACGUGUGGCCCACAGGUCAUAGUUUUCCAACCCUCCCUGGAGCAUAUCAAAAGGCUAAAUUUCUCAGGGUUGCUGAUCUUCUACCCAAAUCCACAACAUAGGUUGUUUAACAAAUUUAGUGAUUGGGAUGCUAUAAUUAUCCAUAUUGUAUUUUAUGCACUUGUCUGCAUAUCUGUGUUCUAUUUCAUAAUGAAGUUUGGGGUUUUUUUGAUUUUUGUUUUUUUUAAGUAAGUGAUCAAGUGAUCAGGAAGGUUGGCCAAGGUUUAGAAGGAGGAUACAAAGGGAACUUUUCUGGAUGGGUCAAAGAUUUUUACAGAGACUGAGAAAGUUUGGAGUUGGACGAAACGCACUAUUACACAGUCCAAUCUUCUUCCCAAUGGAGGAAUUUCUUUUGCAACACCCCUGGCAGGUAUUCAGUUAACCUCUGAGGGAAAAUGUUUUGGGCUAGAUUGGGAGGAAGGAUUACCAAUUUAUAAAGCAAAACUGGUCCUCUCUAUUUCAUUCAAUACAUAUGCUUAUGGACACAAAAGCAAAGCCAAAAAAGCAAAAACAAACAAGUGGGACUACAUCAAAUUAAAAAGCUUCUGCACAGUAAAGCAAAUUAGCAACAAAAUGAAAAGGCAACCUGCAGAAUGUGAGAAAGUAUUUGCAAAUUGUGUCAAUAGCCAAAAAAAAAAAAUCUGAUUAAAAACUGAGAUGAACUAAAUAGACAUUUUUUAAAAGACCAAAAACAGCUUAUAGGGAUAUAAUACUUGAAAAGGUUUUCAACAUCACUAACUGGGGAAAUUCAAAUCAAAAUGCAAAUAUCACCUCACCCUUGUUAGAAUGGCUACAUCAAGAAGAUAAGAAGUGCUGGCAAGAAUGUAGAGAAAAGGGAACCCUUGCGCACUGUCGGUAGAAAUGUAAAUUGGUACAGCCACUGUGGAAAACCGUAUGGAAGUUCCUCAGAAAAUUAGAAAUAGAACUACCAUAUGAUCCAGCAAUCCUACUUCUGGGUAUAUAUUCAAAGGAAAUGAAAAUAGGAUAUUGAAGAGAUAUCUGCACUCCCAUGUUCACUGCAGCACUGUGUGUGUGUGUGUGUGUGUGUGUUUCCUCACACCAACAAGCAAUUAUCAGACACUAGCAUGGUCUCCAAGAUUUCAACUCAAUUUAAGUCAAUUUUGGCACUACCUACACCUGGAGAUUACAUCAGCUUCCACAGACAAAACAACUCAGCCCCACAAGACCAUCCUCCACUUCAGGGGCCAUUUGCAAGCCCAGGUUAUUUAUUACCUGUGCUUCUCAAUCAACUAGCUAAGUGAAAAUCAGAUUUCCAAAACCCCUCUCUGGAUUUGAUUAAUUUGCUAGAACAGCUUACAGAACCCAGAGAAACAUUUUACCUACUAGAUCAUUGGUUUAUUACAAAAGGAUAGAACUUGGGAACAGCCAGAUGCAAGAGAAGUAUAGAGCAAGACCUGGGGAAAGGGCAAAGAGCUUCCAUGACCUCUCUAGGUACACCACUCUCCCAUCAGCUCCAUGGGUUCACCAACCUGGAGACUCUCUGAACCCUGACCUUUUGGGGCUUUAGGGAGGUUUCAUUACAUAGCCAUGACAAUUAAGUCAUUGUCCAUUGGCAACUGAUGAACCCUCCAGUUCCUCCUCCCUUCUGGGACUAAAAGUGCCAACCCUCUAAUCACAUGGUUAGCCCCACUGGCAACCAGCCCCCUUUCUAACCUGCUUAAGUCACCUCAUUAACAAAAGAGCUUUAUUGCAUUUAGAAAAUUCCAAGCAUUUUAGGAGCUCUGUACCAGAAACAGGGACAAAAAACAAGCAUUUCUUAUUAUAAAUCAUAAUAUAUCACACACACACACACACACACACACGCGAAUAUUAUUCUGUAAUACCUAUGAAGGAAAUUCUGCCAUUUGCAACAUGGACGACCUUGAGGACAUUACGCUUAAGUGAAUAAGCCAGACAAAAAGACAAAUGCUGCAUGGUGUCAUUUAUAAGUGGAAUCUUAACCAAAAAAAAGAAAAAAAAAAGUCAAACUCAUAGAAACAGACUAGAAGAGGGGUAUCUGGGGGAAAUAGGAAGAGGUUGGUAAAAGGGUACAAACUUUCAAAAAUAAAUCUUCCUGUGCAAUGACCAGGUUCCAAUCAUAAGGCUUGACCCUGUGAGAACACAAACAUCCCUGACACUGUCAGUCCUGUAGGGAGCUCACCGUCUAAUGAAAGAAAUAAGACAAGAUGCAAAUAGUUACAACAGAAAGUAGAAGUAGUAGAAAGUUAUUAUGACUUAAAGAUGACCACAGACAACCCAAUUUAAGAAUGAGGGAAGGGGGGCCCUGGGUGGCUCAGUCGGUUAAGUGUCUGACUUCAGCUCAGGUCAUGAUCUUGUGGUCCAUGGGUUCGAGCCCGACGUCAGGCUCUGUGCUGACAGCUCAGAGCCUGGAGCCUGCUUCGGAUUCUGUGUCUCCCUCUCUCUCUGCCCCUCCCCACUCGCACUCUGUCUCUCUCACUCUCAAAAAUAAGUAAACAUUAAAAAAAAUUGUUUUAAUGAGGGAAGGAUUUGAACAGGCACUCCACAGACCUAGGAAGAGAUGCUCCAUGUUAUUAGUUACCACACAAGUACAAAGUAAAAACCACACUAAAGGUACCAUUUCACACCCACCAGACCAGCAAAACGUACAAGCCAGACACUCUCAGGGGCUGGCAAGGAUAUGGACAAUGAGGACACGCAGGGCUAUUGUGGGGAUUGAAUGAGUUGACAUGAGUGCAGGCACGCAGUAAACUGUGUGACUUAGCCAUCAGUCAUCAUCAUCACGGUUGUUGAAAUUAUGUACAGAUGGUCAAAGUGUAAAUGGCUAUAACCAAUUUGGAAAACAAUUUGGAAAACAAUUUGGUCUUUAAUAUAGCCGAGCAGGUUUAUACCCUAUGGUCCAGCAAUUCCACUCCUGGGUAGAUCCCUAGAGAACCUCCUGCACCUGAACACAUACAAAAGCGAAUUCAGAAAAUUCUUAAUAGCCCCAAACUGGAAUCACACAAGUGUCUGUAAAUGGUGGAAUAGAGAUAGUAGGUAUACUAAUAUAAUGGAAUACUACACAGGAGCAGAUAUAAAGGAACUACUCCUGUCCAUAACACAGAUGAAUCUCCUCCAACUUACCUUCAGGUGGAAAAAGUCUAAAAAAAUAUACUGUUUGCUCCAGUUUAAAUAAAAUUUAAUAAAAACAAACUAUGUGUAAUGAUUCAUGCUAGUUAUACUUGAAUUUUAAGAAAUACAACUUUUUAAAAGCUUUUUUAAACUAAACUAUGUAUAGUUUAGGGAUAUGAAUGUGUAAUAAAACUAUAAAAUAAAUCAAGAAUAUGAAAAUUCCCAAAUUUAGGAGAAUGGUUACCUUUAAUAUGGGGGAGAGAAAAAAAUAGGAUGGGGGAGAGGCCACAAGAGCACUGAAAGGCAAUAUUUAUGAUCUUUUGUUUAAACCUCAUGGUGGAGCCCUUUCACGAAGAUGGUGUCAAAGGCAAAGAAGGAAGCCCCUGCCCCUCCCUAAGCUGAAGCCAAAGCAAAGGCUUUGAAGGCCAAGAAAGCAGUGCUGAAAGGCAUCCACAGUCAUAAAAAAAAAAAAAAAGAUCUGCAUGUCACCUACAUUCCAAUGGCCCAAGACACUGCAUCUCCGAAGGCAGCCCAGAUAUCCUCGAAAGAGUGCCCCCAGGAGAAACAAGCUUGACCACUAUGCCAUCAUCAAGUUUCCCCGGACUAUCGAGUCAGCCACAAAGAAAAUAGAAGACAACAACACUUUUGUGUUCAUUGUGUAUGUCAAGGCCAACAAGCACCAGAUCAAACAGGCUGUGAAGAAGCUCUAGGACAUUGACCAAGUGGCCAAGGUCAACACUCUGAUCGGGUCCGAUGAAGAAAAGAAAGCAUAUGUUCGACUGGCUCCUGACUAUGAUGCUUUGGAUGUUGCCAACAAAAUUGGGCUCAUCUAAACUGAGUCCAGCUGGUUAAAUCUAAGUUUUUUCAACAUAAAAAAAAUGAUAAUAAAAAAAUAAGUAAUUAAAUAAAUAAACCUUGUGG
This 17675-nucleotide long non-coding RNA is filed under the name Lynx pardinus (Iberian lynx). Lineage: Eukaryota; Metazoa; Chordata; Mammalia; Carnivora; Felidae. The record is from RNAcentral.